GGCAGCGCCCGGGGUGCGGGGGCAGGGGGCGGAGCAGAGGAGCAGGGGGCGGGGCGGUGACCUGAGGGGCCGGCUGUGCCUCGAAUGGGGGAGACGCCGGCGAGGGGACACCAGGGUCGUUGCGCCCCAGCACCUCCCCUCUGGCCGGAAGCUUCAGGGAGGCUCAAGCUAGGUGGAACUGGGGGAGGCGGGCAGCUACGGGCCGGCCCUUCGGGCCUGGAAGGGGCGGGCGGAGUGGAGCUUCCUGGAGGAGCAGAGGAAGUCGUGCCCAUUUCUGGAAGUGGAUGAGGCAUCCCCGGGAGGGGAGUGAAAAUGGCCCGAAGGGAGCUGCUGCCCAGGCCGAAGAUCUUUGAGGGCCUGACUCCAACCCCUAGCCCUCCGAAUUUACCCCAGUCCUCUGGGAUCUGAAGCCCGCACCUUCCAAGGCUCACUUUCCAGCCCUGUCCGAUUCAUCCAUCCGACGAACAUUUACUGAGCACCUAAGCUUUGUGUGAACUCCCGUGGGUCCUUCAGAUGCCAGCUCACACGUCCCCUCCUCCAGGAAGCCUUCUGCGAGCUCCGUUCCUCGGCUGGAGCAGGCACCUUUCCUAGGCUCCCCCGUCAAGGCCCUGACUGACCUCUCUGCCUAUGAGUCCCCAUCACGACCCUGGCCAUUCUGGGUCUGUCUCCCUGUUGUACCGUGAACUCUGUGAAAGCAGGUGCUGGCUAUCUUGGUCAUACUGUGUCCCUGGCACUAUUCAGCAUGGGGCUGGGCACAAGACCGAGUAUCCACUGACCGCUGAUACUGAAUAAAGGACUUUCUUCCCCCUG
Pteropus alecto (black flying fox) is the source of this 810-nucleotide long non-coding RNA. RefSeq lists it as uncharacterized. The transcript is spliced from 3 exons. Lineage: Eukaryota; Metazoa; Chordata; Mammalia; Chiroptera; Pteropodidae. The record is from RefSeq and is a predicted model, not a curated record.